AUUGAACGCUGGCGGCAUGCCUUACACAUGCAAGUCGAACGGUAACGGGCCUUCGGGUGCCGACGAGUGGCGAACGGGUGAGUAAUACAUCGGAACGUGCCCGAUCGUGGGGGAUAACGAGGCGAAAGCUUUGCUAAUACCGCAUACGAUCUACGGAUGAAAGCAGGGGACCGCAAGGCCUUGCGCGGACGGAGCGGCCGAUGGCAGAUUAGGUAGUUGGUGGGAUAAAAGCUUACCAAGCCGACGAUCUGUAGCUGGUCUGAGAGGAUGAUCAGCCACACUGGGACUGAGACACGGCCCAGACUCCUACGGGAGGCAGCAGUGGGGAAUUUUGGACAAUGGGCGCAAGCCUGAUCCAGCCAUGCCGCGUGCAGGAUGAAGGCCUUCGGGUUGUAAACUGCUUUUGUACGGAACGAAAAGCCUUCUUUUAAUACAGGAGGGUCAUGACGGUACCGUAAGGAUAAGCACCGGCUAACUACGUG
RNAcentral lists this ribosomal RNA (482 nucleotides) under uncultured bacterium. Its description in RNAcentral is "partial 16S ribosomal RNA". It matches the Rfam family "Bacterial small subunit ribosomal RNA", at positions 30 to 507 of the family's 1533-position model. The record is from RNAcentral.